CGAUCGACUUCUUUCAUUGCAAAGGGAGGGAAAAAGCUUUGCAUCGUGGACGGAAGUGGAACACCAGCACGUAAGCAAACAACACUCAACUGGGUGGACAAGCGUAUUCCACUGUGGAGAGCAGCCCAACAAUUAUUUGUAGUAGCGGAUGGCCUAUCUGCUGAUGCUGAUUUUCAACAACAUCCCUAACCUCUCUCUACCCACUGGAUGACUCCUCCUCCCCCAGCUGUGAUAACCAGCAGUGUCUCCAGACGGUGCCAAAUGUCUCUUUUUAGGCAAAGUCACUAUUAAUUAAGAACCACUAAUCUAAAAGAUUUUGCUUCUGUAUCUCAUGUACAAAUAAAAUUAUAGUCCUAGAGAUCACAAUCUGGGUGUGUGUGUGUGUGUGUGUGUGUGUGUGUGUGUGUGUGUGUUUCCUGUGCCAUGGGUCCCCAAGAUCACACUCAGGUUGAAUGAUUCACUAUGAGGAUUCACAGAACUCAGGAUAUUGGCAUAUUCACAGCUAUGAUUUAUUGCAGUGAAAGGAUACAAAGCAAAAUCAACAAAGAGAAAAGGCACAUCAAAGUUCAGAGGAAACCAGGUGCAAGCUUCCAAGACCUCUUUCCCUUUGGAGUCACAGAGAUGCAGUUAAUUCUUCCAGCAGUGGGUUGUGAGAAUAUGUGUGGAGUUCUGUCCAUCAAAGGAGCUCAUUAGGCACUUAAUAUUCACUGCCCAGCAUGUAUGAAAACUCCAGACUCUCGGAAGGGAAGCAGUUGUUUAGCCAAAACCACAUUGUUUGUACAAAUAAUUCAUGUACAGUACGCCACGCUUAUUAGUUAAUAAUGAUGGGGAUUUUCAAGAAACCCAAGUUCCUAAGUGCUAGCCAGGGUUCAACCUUGUAAGCAGGUCUUCCUAAGGGUAAUGGUCCCAGCCUGCUAUGCUAACUCUAUCUGCACACUUCCCUACACAAAGUUUUGUGAAAUGCCAACUACAUUUUAGGCACCCAAAGAUUUACAGAACGAGUGAGUUAACCAAGUAAUCAAUCUAUCUUGUUUUCCAUAAGAAUCCAUUAAACUUCUUUAUUUAGACUUUUGUUCCUAGGGAUUCUUAGCUACAUAGAGGGAAAUAUUCCUAGCAAUGAAAUAUAAUCACAAAUUAUAGAAUUAAAUAGAAGAUUUUAGUUAAUUAUGCCACCCUUGACACUCAUUUCUAGAAAAUCUCCAAACAAUUCAAUAUGUCACAGAGGACUCCAUUUUUGGGGAAAAGAACAUGGGGCAUGGUAAUGUUCUGGUCAUUAAAUUCCCAGACACAACCACCAAGAGAAUGAGCAGUGUAAAUCUAGACUACAUGAACAACCCUUUUCUUCCAAGAAGUCUAUGCCAUUUUGGAAGAUAAAAUCACUCAACGGUAAAUUUUGUUUAAUAGUUGACUUAUCUACUGUCCUCCAGUCCAGACAAAGGGCUCGUAAUUAAUAGGAUGGCUAGCAAAAAUUAGCUUCAUCUAAUUUUUCAAACAAGAGAAUGAGCCCCUCUUCUUAUGCUAAUGAAACCAUAUGGCCCUCUUUAUAACACCUGUCCUCAGGGGCAGGUUGGGUUUUACUUUUGCAGCACUCUUGGCCACCCACCCUCCCCCACCCCGCGUGCAGUCUUUAUGAAGGGCAAGACUGUCACUGCUCUUGUCUCUCACCUUGCUCUCCCCAGAAUCCUGCUUAGUCUGCGCCAAACUUAUUUAUUUUAAUAAAGCUUUAGGGGAUCACGGUCAAGAGUCCAUAUACCCCCAGGGUAUUUUAGUUUAAAGGCAAACAUGAUUUUCAAAAAGUGUAUUAAAGACAAAUCAGCAGGCCUUUCAGGAUUUGUUUCCUUGAUUCUAAGGUGUGCUAAGAAUGGUUCCAGAUGGACGCUGACACCAUUCGUGGCAUUCGUGACAGCGCUUGGGAAGGUCCUUUGGUUGCCAAAACACUGUAGUAGACGCCUCUGACAUAAAUAGGCGCAAGCGUCUUCCAUGGCGUGCCCUAACAAAUAGUAUCUUCUGUGUUUGCAUGUUUUGAGAACAGGAUUGGAAAACAUUCAUUAGACGAAGCACUUUGCUCUUAAACGUUGUCCUCAUGCCUUUGAAUGCACAUAUUUCUGGUUAGACAGAGAGGGUGCAUUGGGUGCAGGCCCCUGGCCAUGAGUUUGUUUGUGGAUUAUUCCUCCUCCCUCUCUCCCUCCAUGCUGUGCUGUUUGUGUUUCUUCCUGAAGAACUGUACCUUAAGGGAACUAUUCUGUACCCAUUCUUUUCCAAAAGGUGAAAAGGGCUCAGCCAAUGCUGAUGUCUGGAAGGGGACCUUGACUGAGAUCACAGAGUUAACAUCCUCCUAACAGUGGUCCAGGAAGCACGGUCCAGCUGGACGAGCCAGUGUGAACAACCUUCUAAUUCCAGGCAGAACUUACUCGCCAUAUGCAAAGGUAACUACUCAAAUAACUUUUUGCUUGAGACAUUUACGUUAAAUGUAGUAUUUUUGUAACAAUAGACAUGCAUGGUUAAUGAUGAUAAUUUUUAGAAACUGUUACUUUCAGAACUAAGAACAAAUACAUGAUCAGAUCGUUGCUUUUAAACACACUGAUUCCUGGAUCCUAAAUGAUGAUAAAAGUUCACCCUAAGGAACAUAUUAGCAAAACUCUAUUCCUUGCCCUGAUUACAGGAAGAUAAUUUAUUUUUGAAAUAUUUUACUACUGGGGCGCCUGGGUGGCUCAGUCGGUUCAGCAUUC
Molecule: long non-coding RNA, 2729 nt
Organism: Leopardus geoffroyi (Geoffroy's cat)
Lineage: Eukaryota; Metazoa; Chordata; Mammalia; Carnivora; Felidae
Exons: 3
Source: RefSeq, a predicted model, not a curated record